This is a non-coding RNA of Castor canadensis (American beaver), 614 nucleotides long. The record is from RefSeq and is a predicted model, not a curated record. NCBI's taxonomy places the organism in Eukaryota, Metazoa, Chordata, Mammalia, Rodentia, Castoridae.
UCCCCUCCCCUGCCGUCCCCUCUCCUUUCACACAGAAGGCACAAGCACCCACGCACGCACAAGGUGCUGAGAACUGAGGGAAAACCAGAGCGGUUCCUUGCUCUUCAUGCCUCAAGAAACACCGUGCCCUUCAUCCGCUUCACCUGCUCUUCCUGAGACUUCAGUCACCUUCCCCCUGGCCUCAGCCCAUAGAUAGAGAGCCUCAAAAUCCAAUGCACGGAGAGCUAGCCCAAGGCUCCUCAACGUUGAUGCCAAGAAGUGGAGCCUGGACAGGAGGCCCAGGACCCAUCAUUCCAUAGGAAGUGGCACCUUGCCUUCCAUCUGGAGACACGGGAACUUAGACCUCCAGUGCUACAGACUUUUGGAGUUUUCUACGAAUAUCUGGCACUGACCAUGUUAAAAAUUUAACUUUGAGGAGAACCUCUUCCACCUGUGACUCUGGGUCCACUGUGCUAUGCUUUCUGAUAGUGUCCUUAAGAUGCUAUAGAAAGGUAAGGGGGGUUUCUUCAAGGCCUUGUUGUACUGUAGUCACCUGGGAAUAGUUUAGAGGUUUGACUUUGGUCCUUUUUAGCCCUUCCACUAUGAGAUGGAUUAAGUGUUGAUGCCAUUUAUCC